UCUAAGUAUUUGACAUGAGUUUCCACAUAUGUUUUAAAAUUGCAGCUCUGUUUUGUGUUUCCAAGUUAGGAAAGCCUAAACCACCAUAUCUUUUGGGGCUGACAUAUAGAUUUCCAAGCCACUAAACCACCAUAGGAAUUGUCUGAGUAACCUGUUGAUCUCUGUUAAAACAGAUUCAGGAAAAAUGAAGCUCACUAGGACUGAUUGAAUUAGCUGUACUCUUCUAGCACAUGAGAGAGGCUUUGUUGCCCAAUGCUGAAUCCUGUUAUCAACCAGCACUCUACAAUCUGUUUCCUUUAACCUUGUUGACAUCAAGGGCUGACCCUAGAGGUAGAAUCUUUUGAAGCCUCUUGUUUAAGAUGCAAAGCUAAUUGAUAGGCUGAUUUAAAGUUAAAUUCAACAUUAACUGAUCAUAUGAGUUAAUUAAAUUUUAAAAGGACAUUCCUCUCCACUAAUUGAUAAUGAAGAACCAAGUCAAGUUAUCCCCUUUUUAUUUAGGAAAAAAAAAAAAAAAAGAACCAAGUCAAGUUCCUGACGAAGGCAACACCAAAAUCAGCAUAUAAUUAAUUUAUUUUGUCUAAGAUCAUUGUGCAGACCCCUUGAAGCCAGUUGAUGGUGAUACCUUGUUUUUUGUUUUUUGGUUGUUAGGGUGAUGUUUUCUAACCCUGUUACAUACUUGAAGUAGUCAAAUUUUAUAUGUUCGUAAAGCCGAUUAAUGACUAGAAGGCACUUAAGUAAUAAAAAAUCAUCAAUGAAGCCUCAUAAGAGUGAGAUUCUUUAUUUCGUUAUCCAUUUACGUUUUUUUUUUUUUUUUUUUUUUUUUUUUCAUAGUUGAUACUCACACACACAUGCCUCCAUGGAGGCUUGAACCCUUGACCUCCCUUUGGGAAGUAAGGGCCUGAUACCGCUAGGCCACUGGCCCGUUGGUUCGUUAUUCAUUUACUUGCUGAAAGAAGAAAGGUGGAAGCCCAUAAGAGAGAGAUUUGAUUGAGUAAGUUAUUUCAUAUGCCAAACAAUUUUCUAAUAAAUUAUAGAAAAGGAGAUUGUGUUAUUUAAUGAUCAUUUUAAAGGUAAAUGGAAAACAAUAAAAGAUAAAUACAGAAUUUCCUUUAUUGAAUACCCCUGAAGAGUUAAAUCAGUAUAGUUUGAAUGUGAUAGAAGGUGUGGGGUGGAUUAAAUUGUACACUCCUUUUUUUGAAUGCAUUUGUAUGGUCUGAGGCCAAUUUUAUCAGUUGACAAUGUGAAUUCAAUUUUUUGAGUCUUGUAGGAUUGUCAGUUAGAACAAUUUUUUAAAAAGAGGGCCAUUUUCAAGCACAUAUUGACCAUAUGCAAUUCAAAAAUUCACCUCCAGUAUUAAUACACAAAAUUAUAAUUCAUAAGAAAACAAAAAGAAGAAGAAACAAGUCGUCUAAAUCAUAUCUUAGGAUGUCUUAGGAACAACCCAAAUUGGUGCUGGAUCAAUCUUCUGCACAUCAUCUUCACCUUCAUUAAUCAGUUCUAUACUCUGAUUUUCCAUGUUAAACCUUCCUGUGUCAUGACCAUAUUUGUCACUCUCACCCAUUUGAUCCCAAUAAUACUCAUCCAUGAAGAAAAUCGAAUUCCCUUUACAAAAUGGAAAACCCUUUGCUGAGAGUGACACUGAUUGAUUCCCACCCAAAAACAACAUGCCAUCAUCGCCUAAUGAUUUAAAGAAAGCUUUUGCUAACAAUUUAAUGUUUGGGAUUUGAAGAAAGCUUUUGCUUUUCUUUUUCCUUUUUUCUUUUUUUUUUGGGCAGAAAGGGAAGCCAUCGAAUGAAAUUGCACCUCACCAGCCGAAUGGAAAAUGGGUUACAGAUGAUAUGGAACCAAGUGGAUGGAGAAGGGAAUUGAGGGUAUGUGGGAUAGGUACUCGACAAUAUGUCUGAGAGAAAAAUACCUCAUAUAAAAUGGUUGAGAGGGCCUUCUUGCAGCCAAUUGUGAUUCUGGAAGCGAGUUUCCGAACCAUUUUGCUUUUGAUCAAGGGCCUUGCUAAGGAUCUCAGCUGAAUUCUGUUUUGUGUUUCCAAGCUAGGAAAGCCUAAAGCACCAUAUUUCUUUUGGGGUUGACAUAUGGAUUUCGAAGCCACUAAACCACCCUUGGAAUUGUCUGAGUAACCUUAUGAUCUCUGUUGGAACAUAUUUAGGAAAAAUGAAGUGACUAGACCGGUAGAACUGCAUUGAAGGAGCCUAGGACUGGUUGAAUUAGCUGUACUCACUCUUCCAGCAAAUGAGAGACACUUUGUUACGCAGUGCUGAAUCCUGUUUCACAGAUGUUGACUGGGCUGGUUCUCCCUCAGAUAGGAAAUCUACUACAGGCUAUUGUACACUUAUUGGUGGAAACCUUGUUACAUGGAAAAGUAAGAAGCAAACAGUUGUAGCACGGUCUAGCGCUGAAGCAAAGUACAGGGCGAUGGCCCAUAUCUCUAGUGAGUUAACGUGGAUAUAACAUUUUCUUGAAGAACUUGGGUUAAUAGUCAAGAAUCCUAUUCCACUGUUUUGUGAUAACCAAACAGCUAUUCACAUCGCAUCCAAUCCGGUUUUUCAUGAAAGAACCAAGCACAUUGAAGUUGAUUGUCACUUCACUCGAGAGAAAAUAUUAAGUGGAAACAUUUCUACUCCAUUCGUGAAGUCUGAAGAUCAAUUAGCGGAUAUGUUUACUAAGGCUCUUGGUCAUAAUCGGUUAAAAAUAAUUUGUUCCAAGCUGGGAUUAUAUGAUAUAUAUUCUCUAGCUUGAGGGGGAGUGUUGAAACACUUAUAUGUGUAUGUGUAUUUAUGCUGGGGUCUUAUUGUAAUUAGAUAUAGGGUUUGUGGCCAUUAUGUAAUUAGGCCUUUAUUGUAUUGUAUAUAACUCCCUUUAUGUUUUAGGGUUAAGAAUGUAUGGAAAAUAUGGGCUGAGACUCUCUCGCCAUCUCUCUCUCUCUCUCUAUCUCUAUUCUCAUUAUUUUCAAAUCUCCAUUUUUACAGUUUUCAAAUUUAGCUUUUUCAUGAACUGAUCAUAUGAGUUAAUUGAGUUUUAAAAGGACAUUCUUCUCCACUAAUUGAUAAUAAACUACCCAGUCAAGUUCCCAAUGAAGGUAACUCUGGUAUUAUUAAGACACCCAAAGGCAAGACCAAAAUCAGCAUAUAAUUUUUUCAAUUUAUUUUUUUAUUUUUUUUUAUAUUUUGACUAAGAUCAUUAUGCAGACCCCUUGAAGCUAUUAGUGUAUGGUAAUACCUUGGAUUUUUUUUUUGAUUGCUAUGGUGACGUUUUCUAACUCUGUUACAUA
This is a long non-coding RNA of Cornus florida, 3283 nucleotides long. RefSeq lists it as uncharacterized. Lineage: Eukaryota; Viridiplantae; Streptophyta; Magnoliopsida; Cornales; Cornaceae. The record is from RefSeq and is a predicted model, not a curated record. The transcript is spliced from 3 exons.